RNAcentral lists this transfer RNA (69 nucleotides) under Trichonephila inaurata madagascariensis. Its description in RNAcentral is "tRNA-Arg". The stretch from base 3 to 62 matches the Rfam family "tRNA", at positions 7 to 64 of the family's 71-position model. From Rfam's summary of the family: Transfer RNA (tRNA) molecules are approximately 80 nucleotides in length. Their secondary structure includes four short double-helical elements and three loops (D, anti-codon, and T loops). Further hydrogen bonds mediate the characteristic L-shaped molecular structure. tRNAs have two regions of fundamental functional importance: the anti-codon, which is responsible for specific mRNA codon recognition, and the 3' end, to which the tRNAs corresponding amino acid is attached (by aminoacyl-tRNA synthetases). tRNAs cope with the degeneracy of the genetic code in two manners: having more than one tRNA (with a specific anti-codon) for a particular amino acid; and 'wobble' base-pairing, i.e. permitting non-standard base-pairing at the 3rd anti-codon position. The record is from RNAcentral. Lineage: Eukaryota; Metazoa; Arthropoda; Arachnida; Araneae; Nephilidae.
CUGUAGCGCAAUGGAUAGAGCGUUGGACUUCUAAUCCAAAGGUCGUGGGUUCGAAUCCCACCCGAAAGG